This 547-nucleotide ribosomal RNA is filed under the name uncultured Gammaproteobacteria bacterium. RNAcentral describes it as "bacterial SSU rRNA". It matches the Rfam family "Bacterial small subunit ribosomal RNA", at positions 8 to 595 of the family's 1533-position model. The record is from RNAcentral. Lineage: Bacteria; Pseudomonadati; Pseudomonadota; Gammaproteobacteria.
AGAGUUGUAUCCUGGCUCAGGAUGAACGCUGGCUGUAUGCCUAACACAUGCAAGUCGUACGAGAGUUUUUAACUCUAGUGGCGGACGGGUGAGUAACACGUGAGAAUUUGCCUUUAGGAGGGGGACAACAACUGGAAACGGCUGCUAAUACCCCAUAUGCUUUCGAGUGAAAUGGAUUUUUCCGCCUAGAGAGAAGCUUGCGGCUGAUUAGCUUGUUGGUGAGGUAAUGGCUCACCAAGGCGACGAUCAGUAUCUGGUUUGAGAGGACGAUCAGACACACUGGAACUGAGACACGGUCCAGACUCCUACGGGAGGCAGCAGUAGGGAAUUUUCCGCAAUGGGCGAAAGCCUGACGGAGCAAUCUCGCGUGAGGGAUGACGGCCUAUGGGUUGUAAACCUCUUUUUUCAGGGAGGAAUAAAUGACGUGUACCUGAAGAAUAAGCAUCGGCUAACUCCGUGCCAGCAGCCGCGGUAAGACGGAGGAUGCAAGUGUUAUCCGGAAUCACUGGGCGUAAAGCGUCUGUAGGUGGUUUAAUAAGUCAACUGU